RNAcentral lists this ribosomal RNA (114 nucleotides) under Triticum aestivum (bread wheat). RNAcentral describes it as "partial small subunit ribosomal RNA". Lineage: Eukaryota; Viridiplantae; Streptophyta; Magnoliopsida; Poales; Poaceae. The record is from RNAcentral.
AUGCAGCUGCUGGAGAGUGGCCUGAAGGUGAAGGAGUACGAGCUGCUCAGGAGGAACUUCAGCGACACCGGAUGCUUUGGCUUCAGUAUCCAGAGCACAUCGAUCUCGGUGUGA